GUCGAGAAUCUUUCACAAUGGGGGCAACCCUGAUGGAGCGACGCCGCGUGGAGGAUAAGGUCUUCGGAUUGUAAACUCCUGUCAUGCGUGAACAAGGUUGCUUGGUUAAUACCUGGGCAAAUUGAUGGUAACGCAAGAGGAAGAGACGGCUAACUCUGUGCCAGCAGCCGCGGUAAUACAGAGGUCUCAAGCGUUGUUCGGAAUCACUGGGCGUAAAGGGUGCGUAGGUGGCGGGGUAAGUCAGAUGUGAAAGCGCGGGGCUCAACCUCGGAACUGCAGCCGAUACUGCCAUGCUAGAGUACUGGAGAGGUGACUAGAAUUCUCGGUGUAGCAGUGAAAUGCGUAGAUAUCGAGAGGAAUACCAAAGGCGUAGGCAGGUCACUGGACAGUUACUGACACUGAGGCACGAAGGCCAGGGGAGCGAACGGGAUUAGAAACCCGGGUAGUCC
RNAcentral lists this ribosomal RNA (449 nucleotides) under uncultured bacterium. Its description in RNAcentral is "partial 16S ribosomal RNA". It matches the Rfam family "Bacterial small subunit ribosomal RNA", at positions 354 to 796 of the family's 1533-position model. The record is from RNAcentral.